This 653-nucleotide ribosomal RNA is filed under the name uncultured Diversispora. RNAcentral's name for it is "SSU rRNA". It matches the Rfam family "Eukaryotic small subunit ribosomal RNA", at positions 624 to 1276 of the family's 1831-position model. Lineage: Eukaryota; Fungi; Glomeromycota; Glomeromycetes; Diversisporales; Diversisporaceae. The record is from RNAcentral.
AAGCUCGUAGUUGAAUUUCGGGGUUUACUCAUUGGUCAGGCUUAAUUGUCUGUACUGGUGAGAUAAAUCUCUACCUUCUGAGGAACUUUCAUGUCAUUAAUUUGAUGUGAUUGGAAAUCAGGACUGUUACUUUGAAAAAAUUAGAGUGUUUAAAGCAGGCUAAAGUCUGAAUACAUUAGCAUGGAAUAAUGAAAUAGGACGGACUGAUUCUAUUUCGUUGGUUUCUAGGAUCACCGUAAUGAUUAAUAGGGAUAGUUGGGGGCAUUAGUAUUCAAUUGUCAGAGGUGAAAUUCUUGGAUUUAUUGAAGACUAACUACUGCGAAAGCAUUUGCCAAGGAUGUUUUCAUUAAUCAAGAACGAAAGUUAGGGGAUCGAAGACGAUCAGAUACCGUCGUAGUCUUAACCAUAAACUAUGCCGACUAGGGAUCGGACGAAGUUAAUUUUAUAAUGACGCGUUCGGCACCUUACGGGAAACCAAAGUGUUUGGGUUCCGGGGGGAGUAUGGUCGCAAGGCUGAAACUUAAAGGAAUUGACGGAAGGGCACCACCAGGGGUGGAGCCUGCGGCUUAAUUUGACUCAACACGGGGAAACUCACCAGGUCCAGACAUAGUAAGGAUUGACAGAUUGAGAGCUCUUUCUUGAUUCUAUGGGUG